GGUCCCGCCUGGCCCUGGUGACUACGUGUUUAACGGCCGCGGUAUUUUGACCGUGCGAAGGUAGCGCAAUCACUUGUCUUUUAAAUGGAGACCUGUAUGAAUGGCAUAACGAGGGCUUAACUGUCUCCUCUUUCCAGUCAAUGAAAUUGAUCUCCCCGUGCAGAAGCGGGGAUAACUUCAUAAGACGAGAAGACCCUAUGGAGCUUUAGACAUAAAGCAGAUCAUGUUAAGGACCCUCACACAAGAACCAAAACAGGACGAAACCUGCUAGAGUGUCUUUGGUUGGGGCGACCACGGAGGAAAACACAUCCUCCAUGCGGAACGGGACCCAUCAAGUCCCAUAACCAAGAGCCUCCCGCUCUAAGUAUCAGAAACUUUUGACCUACCAGAUCCGGCCUAACGCCGAUCAACGAACCGAGUUACCCUAGGGAUAACAGCGCAAUCCCCUUUCAGAGCCCAUAUCGCCAAGGGGGUUUACGACCUCGAUGUUGGAUCAGGACAUCCUAAUGGUGCAGCCGCUGUUAAGGGUUCGUUUGUUCAACGAUUAAAGUCCUACGUGAUC
RNAcentral lists this ribosomal RNA (562 nucleotides) under Choerodon cauteroma (bluespotted tuskfish). Its description in RNAcentral is "partial 16S ribosomal RNA". It matches the Rfam family "Bacterial large subunit ribosomal RNA", at positions 1889 to 2605 of the family's 2925-position model. The record is from RNAcentral. Lineage: Eukaryota; Metazoa; Chordata; Actinopteri; Labriformes; Labridae.